RNAcentral lists this long non-coding RNA (438 nucleotides) under Ananas comosus (pineapple). RNAcentral's name for it is "long non-coding RNA (ACOM_LNC041666)". Lineage: Eukaryota; Viridiplantae; Streptophyta; Magnoliopsida; Poales; Bromeliaceae. The record is from RNAcentral.
AUCAAAGAGCCUUAAAAUUGACAUUUUUAAUGAUUGGUAUAGAACAUUUCCUAGUUAACGGUAUAAAAUGAAAUUGAAUGAAUUUUUGAUACAAAAUUCUAUUCACUAUAUAGAAUAAGAUCAAAAACUCUUAUCUUAAAUUUAAAAACCUUAUCUCCUAUUUUUAGGAGAUUGUACGAUUUUAAACAUUCAUUUUAUACCUAUUUUAUAAACUUUAUUAUAAAUUCAAAAUAUUACGAAAUUUGAUUUCUAGAUACUUUAAAUGCUCUAGAUCAUAUUUAACUUAAUCCCACCUAGGGAUGUCAAUGGGUAUGGAUUCCCGAAAUUUUAUCCGAAUCCGAACCUAAAUGAAACGGAUAUAUCCGAUGGAUAUGGAUAUAGAUUCGGAUAUGGAUAUAAAAAAUAAAAACCAGAUGGAUAUGGAUUCGGAUAUGGAUU